AACAAAAACAUGUCUUUUUGAUUAUAAUUUAAAGUCUGACCUGCCCAAUGAUUGUAAAAGAUUGAAUGGCUGCGGUACUCUGACCGUACUAAGGUAGCAUAAUAAUUAGUUUUUUAAUUGAAAGCUGGUAUGAAUGGUCGGACGAGGGAAUAACUGUCUCAAUUUAAUUUUAAUUAGAAUUUUAUCUUUAAGUAAAAAAGCUUAAAUGAUUUUAAAAGACGAGAAGACCCUAUAGAGUUUAAUAUUUUUAUAUAAUUAUAAAUUUUAAGAAUUAAAUAUUUGAAUUAUAUGAAAAUAUUUUGUUGGGGCGACAAAAAAAUUUAAAGAACUUUUUUUAUAUAGAAUCAUUGAUUUAUGAGUAAGUGAUCCAUUAUUUAUGAUUAAAAGAUUAAAUUACCUUAGGGAUAACAGCGUAAUUUUUUUUGAGAGUUCAUAUCGAAAAAAAAGU
Molecule: ribosomal RNA, 448 nt
Filed under: Omorgus cf. asperulatus YvdM-2007
Lineage: Eukaryota; Metazoa; Arthropoda; Insecta; Coleoptera; Trogidae
Description: partial 16S ribosomal RNA
Rfam family: Bacterial large subunit ribosomal RNA
Source: RNAcentral